GACGUAGGGGGCGAGCGUUGUCCGGAUUCAUUGGGCGUAAAGCGCGCGUAGGCGGCCGCGCAAGUCGGUUGUGAAAUUCCGGGGCUCAACCCCGGAACUGCGUCCGAUACUGCGUGGCUAGAGGUAGGUAGGGGAGAUCGGAAUUCCUGGUGUAGCGGUGAAAUGCGCAGAUAUCAGGAGGAACACCGGUGGCGAAGGCGGAUCUCUGGGCCUUACCUGACGCUCAGGCGCGAAAGCUAGGGGAGCGAACAGG
RNAcentral lists this ribosomal RNA (253 nucleotides) under uncultured bacterium. RNAcentral's name for it is "partial 16S ribosomal RNA". It matches the Rfam family "Bacterial small subunit ribosomal RNA", at positions 524 to 776 of the family's 1533-position model. The record is from RNAcentral.